UACGUAGGGGGCAAGCGUUAUCCGGAUUUACUGGGUGUAAAGGGAGCGCAGACGGCAGUGCAAGUCUGGAGUGAAAGCCCGGGGCCCGACCCCGGGACUGCUCUGGAAACUGUACGGCUGGAGUACGGGAGGGGCAGGCGGAAUUCCUAGUGUAGCGGUGAAAUGCGUAGAUAUUAGGAGGAACACCGGCGGCGAAGGCGGCCUGCUGGACCGAAACUGACGUUGAGGCUCGAAAGCGUGGGGAGCAAACAGG
This 253-nucleotide ribosomal RNA is filed under the name uncultured bacterium. Its description in RNAcentral is "partial 16S ribosomal RNA". It matches the Rfam family "Bacterial small subunit ribosomal RNA", at positions 524 to 776 of the family's 1533-position model. The record is from RNAcentral.